RNAcentral lists this ribosomal RNA (1647 nucleotides) under Triticum aestivum (bread wheat). RNAcentral describes it as "partial small subunit ribosomal RNA". Lineage: Eukaryota; Viridiplantae; Streptophyta; Magnoliopsida; Poales; Poaceae. The record is from RNAcentral.
UAUAAAUUGUGACUUGUAUUGCCAUGAAAAAGAACAACGAUCGGAUCAUGAAUUGACGGCUCGGAUUAAGCAAAACAAGUGGCCUAUAAACGGCUAAACGCCACCCGUUCAGAGUGAUGGUUGACGAAUGCGUAGGACCGCCCAUCGUUAUAGCAGCAGCGGCGGAUCCGCGCCCUCCGGGUCUGGGUGCUGCCGCCCCGCCACGCCCCGGAAGUCAUCCCCGGACGCGGACGCACACCUCCCAACACGUCCCGUCCACCCCGGCCCGAUCCUCCGCGCACGCCAGACAGAGGUGGGCGAGCACUACUACACACACCCAUCCACGCUCACUACAAGAGCCAGCCACGCACGCGACCGCGCCCAAGGACACGACGACCAACCAAGGGAGAAGAGAAGAGAAGAGAAGAGAAGGGAGAGGGCGGCGACGAGGGCGCACGACGGCACGCCGAACGCUCUCGCAAUGCAUCACGCCAAGACCGACUCGGAGGUGACGUCGAGCAUGGCGCCGUCGUCGCCUUCGCGGGCGCCCUACUACGUGCAGUCGCCCAGCCACGACGACGGCGAGAACCACUCCAAGACGGCCGCCUCCUCCUUCCACUCCUCCCCGGCCGCCUCCCCGCCGCGCUCGCUCGGGAACCACUCCAGGGAGUCCUCCUCCUCGCGCUUCUCCGGCAAGGUCCCCUCCGCCGGCUCGUCCCGCCGCGGGGUCGCCGGCGGAGGCGGGAAGCGCGGCGGGGGUGGCGGCGGCGGCGAGGCGGCGCGCCGCAGCCCCUGGAUGAAGGAGGCGGCCAUCGAGGAGGAGGGGCUCCUCAUGGAGGACGACGACGACGCCGACGGCCGCGCCGGCGGCUUCUCGGCGCUCCCCAAGAAGGUGCGCUACGGGCUGGCCUUCGUCGGCGCCUUCCUCGUGCUCUUCACCUUCUUCGCCCUCAUCCUCUGGGGCGCCAGCCGCAACCAGAAGCCCGUCGUCUCCGUCAACAGCGUCACGUUCCACAGCUUCGUGAUCCAGGCGGGGACGGACGCGUCGCUGGUGCCCACGGAGAUGUCCACGAUCAACGCCACGGUGAGGCUCACGUUCCGCAACACGGGGAGCUUCUUCGGCGUGCACGUCACGGCGCAGCCCGUCACGCUCUACUACUCCCAGCUCCUCAUGGCAUCCGGCGACAUGAAGUACUUCUACCAGCCUCGGAAGAGCCAGCGCAAGGUGGCGGUGACGGUGGUGGGCAACAAGGUGCCGCUGUACGGCGGCGGCGCGGGGCUGAGCAGCACGCCGGGGCCCAAGGGCGUGCCCCCGCCGCCGGUGCCGCUGCAGCUGACGCUGAGGAUCAGGGCGCGGGCGCUGGUGCUGGGCAAGCUGGUGAAGCCCAGGUUCUACAACAACGUGCAGUGCAGCGUCCGCCUGGACACGACCAAGCUGGGCAAGGCCAUCUCCCUCAAGAAAUCAUGCACCCACGUCUAGCCACCCUGCCAGACCUUUCUUCUUGUUGUUGCUGCAUAUGUUAUGUCCGUAAUGUAAUACUCCUACGUGGAUUACUGCCAUUUUGAAGGGAGAAAGCAUCAUGUCUGUUGUGUAUGUACAGAUGAAUUUUGUCGCCUGCGUCGGGAUGGAAUGAAUGAAUGAUCACGCGUUUCUUGCCGCAUUUUUCC